UCAAACGUUGAUCAAUCUCCUUCUUUCAAUCUCUUCCUUUUUCCUAUCACCAUGGUUUACUUGGCGCCAAUGAAAAUGAAAAUGAAAAUAGUCAGAUCAGUCAAUAUACGUCCUUGUGUUCUGAACCAUGAGUCGUGUUAGAAGAGAAAUCGGGUCUUAGCACUCAUGCCGAUGGGACCCAGGAUGGGCCGUCCUGGCUCAAAGAGGGUCAUGGCACCACCGCUUGUGAACUUCGUUCCCGCUCCCGUUGGCCCUCCACUGCCGAUCGCCAUGCAACAUUUUAUCCAUUCCUGCUUUUAGUUAUUUGCAUUAGGAAAUAUACAAAAUUGCGCUCUUUGUCAACCAAUUGCAGACAUGUAAGGUUCAGCGAAAUAAAAAACCUACAUAUAUCCAAUAGAGGUUGGGACGCAACGGCAAAGGUUUUGUAUGCUCGCAUCAAACAUACCCGGAGUGGAGCAGCCAUCUUUCACGCCAUCCUCAUCGACCAAA
RNAcentral lists this long non-coding RNA (489 nucleotides) under Triticum aestivum (bread wheat). Its description in RNAcentral is "long non-coding RNA (TAES_LNC018178)". The record is from RNAcentral. Lineage: Eukaryota; Viridiplantae; Streptophyta; Magnoliopsida; Poales; Poaceae.